GGCGUAAGGAAUGUAGCUUGGGUAUUCAUAUUAAGAGGUCGGUCAGUCUGGGGUCCCAUUGCUAUGGGCACGACUGCCGCGCGCCCCGGCAAAAACUUACGAGUGGCAUCCUAUUAGUUGGACCCUGUGAAAGGUCUCGUAGUGAAACCCUGCCUGCUCACCUUGGUAGUGUUUUGGGGAGUCGCGACCCCGGGCAAAUGGGAAUCACGACUUGGAGUGAACGUGCACACCUCUGCAGAGUGUAAAACUGAUAUAUCAGCCGUGCUCACGGUCACGAGCGGCCCAGACCCUCACUUGAUGAGCAAAUUGGAUUCACUGGAUACUUGGAGAUGGAACUGGGCGAGGUUGCUACCUCGUGUUUUGGCGGAAUGGCUAUUCCGUGUUGGCAGGAUUGCUAUCCUGUGUUAAUAAUUGGGGUUAAUCCCUGGAUUACUAUAAUAAUUAGGAUAGUCUUUUAAAAGAUGCUAAUUACUACUUACACUAAUUAAGGGUUGGGUUUAUGCUACUCAUAUUUAGUAAUAGGUUGUUCUAGUAAUUGUUAUAAUUAAAAGUGAUCAACUAAAAUGCUACCGCAGUCAAACCAAGUCAGCUUUACCUUGUUUUAAGCCUUGCAUGUCAUUACUUUCUGUCUGUGCUUGCUGAGUUCGACAUGAGCUCACCCUUGCUAUAAUCAUUAAAGGUUGCUCGGACGAUCAAGAGUACAAUUGCAAUUUCCCUGAGGACUACCCUGAGUCUCCUGGUUGUUAGGCUCGUGUGGUUCUACCGUCGACCUUCCUGUGGCAAGGUGGUCCUGCUACGUCGGCGUUUAGUUUUCCCUUUAUUUAUGGAACAGUUUAGUUUAUGUUUCCCCUCCGCACUUUGAUAAACAUUUGGCUUGUAAUAAUGGUACUUUUACUCUCAUUUAUGUAAUUCGUUUGAACACUGUGUUUUGUACCAUUGAUGAUGUCGGUCCAUGUGUGUGAAUUUGAGAUCCUGGCGCACAUGUGAUUUGGCACCCGAAUGCUCUUUUACAUUCGGGUGUGACACAUGUGCUUAUGACGUAAUUGCUUCUAGUUGCAUUAAGAGGAAUUCUACCUCCACAUAUACGUCUGGCCACCGUAAAGCUAUGUGCAUUCCUCAAUGCAGUUUCUCAGAAGGCAAUCAAUCCACUGGAACUAGCUGCUCUACAGAAUGAUGUGGUUCAAUGUCUUGUCAGCUUUGAGUUAGUGUUCCCUCCAUCCUUCUUUAAUAUCAUGGCACACCUCCUAGUUCAUCUGGUCAAUGAGAUCAAUAUUCUGGGUCCUGUGUUCCUACAUAAUAUGUUUCCCUUCGAGAGGUUUAUGGGAGUUCUGAAGAAAUAUGUUCACCAACGUGCUCGACCAGAAGGAAGCAUCGCAGAGGGCUAUGGGAUAGAGGAGGUCAUUGAGUUCUGUGUUAAAUUCAUUCCUGAACUUGACCCAAUUGGUGUUCCUGAAUCGCGACACGAGGGGAGACUGAGUGGAAAGGGAACACUAGGAAAGAAAACAUACAUCGGUAUGGGGACGAUUAUUUCAAUAAAGCACACUACACAGUUCUUCAAAACUCAUCCAUGGUGGAGCCGUAUGUCACGAAACACAAGGACUUUCUACGAUCCCAAUUCCCAGAGAGGAAUGAAGCUUGGUUUAUGCAUCAGCACAAGGACACUUUCAGUGAUUGGUUACGAAAAGAAUGUCAGGGUAAUGACCAGAUUGAUGAGCAACUGUAUUUGUUGGCUAGGCAACCAUCAUGGCACAUCCUCACAUACAAAGGGUACGAGAUAAAUGGAAAUACAUUUUACACUCUAGGCCAAGAUAAAAGAAACACGAACCAAAAUAGUGGAUUUUGCGUAGACGCCAUAGACCCGAAUGGAAACAGACAAACAUAUUAUGGCUGUAUAGAGGAGGUUUGGGAACUAGACUACACACCUAAUUUUAAAGUCCCUUUGUUCCGGUGCCAAUGGGUGAAGGUUACCGGAGGCGGGGUGACAGUUGACAAAGACUAUGGAAUGACAACAGUGGACCUCAACAAUGUUGGUUACAAAGAUGAACCAUUCGUCCUUGCUGCUGAUGUGAAUCAGGUGUUCUAUAUGAAAGACAUGUCUACAAAACAGAAAGAGGGAAAAAUGACAAAAAAUCAACAAAUGAGCCAAAACGCCAUAUAGUUCUCUCAGGGAAAAGAAACAUUGUGGGAAAGUCAGAUAUUUCAGAAGAUUAUGAAAGGGAUGACCAAAUCACGACUUUCAAUGUGAUCAAAGAUCCGAGCAUACUGAUAAAUGCUGAGGACACUCCAUGGUUACGUCAAGAUCAUGACCAAGGAACAUACGUCAAAAAGAAGAUCACUAUUGUGCCCGCCUAAUAAAUAGAUUGCAUUAGAGUAUGUGUAUGUGACAAUUGUAACUUAAGAUGUUUAUAUUAGUUUUUCUUAUUUUAUAUCAUUUCAAAUAAUGAAAUGACUUGUGGGAAAUGACAUUUAAGUUUGCUAUUAUAAGAGAUGUGUCAAUUGUGGAUUUUCAGCUACACCUUCCCAACACUUUGUCAAAUGCAAAAAUAGUCAAACUUGGUCAAAUGACAAACUAAAUUACUUAAAAUGAAAAAAAUUUGAAUACCAAGUUGUUAGAUAUCAUCAAGAUCUAAACUUUUUAUAUAGACAAUUUUUCUAUUUGAGAAAGUUUAAGUUCACAAUACUCACCAAAUCUUGAAUCUCACACAAACUAUAUGAAACUAUAUGUGUCAAUUGUGGAUUUUCAACUACACCAUCCAAACACUUUGUCAAAUGCAAAAAUGGUCUAUAUAUUAAAUGUAGAUUUUGAUGAGUGGAACAAUAUUGGUAUUCAUGACUUUUCCAUUUGAGACCAUCUAGGGUUCCGAAAACCGAUGCGUGGCUAUGAAUUCUUUCAAAAUUCAAAAUUGAGUGGUUCAAACUUUUCCAAAAGAAAAGUUGACCAUUAGACCAAAUGUAGAACUUGAUGAGUGCAACAAACUUUGUAUUCAUUACUUUUCCAUUUGGGACCAUAUAUGGUUCGGUCAAAGUGUGUGUUUCUAAAAACCAAUGCUUUGACUUUGGUCAAACUUGGUUAAAUGACCCAUUUGAUGACUUGAAAUGAAAAAAAAUUGAAUACAAAGUUGGUAGAGAUCAUCAAGAUCUACAUUUGAUAUAUUGUCCAUUUUUCCAUUUGGAUAAAUUUGAGCCAAUCCUAAGCACAUUUGUUCAAAAUCCAAGGCGGGUUUUGGUCAAACUUGGUCAAAUGACAAACUAAAUUACUUAAAAUGAAAAAAUUUCGAAUACCAAGUUGUUAGAUAUCAUCAAGAUCUAAACUUUAGAUAUAGACAAUUUUUCCAUUUGAGAAAGUUUAAGUUGACAAUACCCACCAAUUCUUGAAUCUCACACAAACUAUAUGAAACUAUAUGUGUCAAUUGUGGAUUUUCAACUACACCUUCCCAACACUUUGUCAAAUGCAAAAAUAGUCUAUAUAUUAAAUGUGGAUUUUGAAGAGUGGAACAAUAUUGGUAUUCAUGACUUUUCCAGUCGAGACCAUCUAGGGUUCCGAAAACCGAUGCGUGGCUAUGAAUUCUUUCAAAAUUCAAAAUUGAGUGGUUCAAACUUUUCCAAAAGAAAAGUUGACCAUUAGACCAAAUGUAGAACUUGAUGAGUGCAACAAACUUUGUAUUCAUUACUUUUCCAUUUGGGACCAUAUAUGGUUCGGUCAAAGUGUGUGUUUCUAAAAACCAAUGCUUUGACUUUGGUCAAACUUGGUUAAAUGACCCAUUUGAUGACUUGAAAUGAAAAAAAAUUGAAUACAAAGUUGGUAGAGAUCAUCAAGAUCUACAUUUGAUAUAUUGUCCAUUUUUCCAUUUGGAUAAAUUUGAGCCAAUCCUAAGCACAUUUGUUCAAAAUCCAAGGCGGGUUUUGGUCAAACUUGGUCAAAUGACAAACUAAAUUACUUAAAAUGAAAAAAUUUCGAAUACCAAGUUGUUAGAUAUCAUCAAGAUCUAAACUUUAGAUAUAGACAAUUUUUCCAUUUGAGAAAGGUUAAGUUGACAAUACCCACCAAUUCUUGAAUCUCACACAAACUAUAUGAAACUAUAUGUGUGAAUUGUAGAUUUUCAACAACAGCUUUCCAACACUUUGUCAAAUGCAAAAAUGGUCUAUAUAUUAAAUGUAGAUUUUGAUGAGUGGAACAAUAUUGGUAUUCAUGACUUUUCCAUUCGAGACCAUCUAUGGUUCCGAAAACCGAUGCGUGGCUAUGAAUUCUUUCAAAAUUCAAAAUUGAGUGGUUCAAACUUUUCCAAAAGAAAAGUUGACCAUUAGACCAAAUGUAGAACUUGAUGAGUGCAACAAACUUUGUAUUCAUUACUUUUCCAUUUGGGACCAUAUAGGGUUUCGGUCAAAGUGUGUGUUUCUAAAAACCAAUGCUUUGACUUUGGUCAAACUUGGUCAAAUGACCCAUUUGAUGACUUGAAAUGAAAAAAAUUUAAAUACAAAGUUGGUAGGGAUCAUCAUGAUCUACAUUUGAUAUAUUGUCCAUUUUUCCAUUUGGAUAAAUUUGAGCCAAUCCUAAGCACAUUUGUUCAAAAUCCAAGGCGGGCUUUGUUCAAACUUGGUCAAAUGACAAACUAAAUUACUUAAAAUGAAAACAUUUUGAAUACCAAGUUUUUAGAUAUCAUCAAGAUCUAAACUUUUUAUAUAGACAAUUUUUCCAUUUGAGAAAGUUUAAGUUGACAAUACCCACCAAUUCUUGAAUCUCACACAAACUAUAUGAAACUAUAUGUGUCAAUUGUGGAUUUUCAACUACACCUUCCCAACACUUUGUCAAAUGCAAAAAUGGUCUAUAUAUUAAAUGUAGAUUUUGAUGAGUGGAACAAUAUUUGUAUUCAUGACUUUUCCAUUCGAGACCAUCUAGGGUUCCGAAAACCGAUGCGUGGCUAUGAAUUCUUUCAAAAUUCAAAAUAGAGUGGUUCAAACUUUUCCAAAACAAAAGUUGACCAUUCGACCAAAUGUAGAACUUGAUGAGUGCAACAAACUUUGUAUUCAUUACUUUUCCAUUUGGGACCAUAUAGGGUUCAGUCAAAGUGUGUGUUUCUAAAAAGCAAUGCUUUGACUUUGGUCAAACUUGGUCCAAUGACCCAUUUGAUAACUUGAAAUGAAAAAACUUUGAAUACAAAGUUGUUAGAGAUCAUCAAGAUCUACAUUUGAUAUAUUGUCCAUUUUUCCAUUUGGAUAAAUUUGAGCCAAUCCUAAGCACAUUUGUUCAAAAUCCAAGGCGGGUUUUGGUUAAACUUGGUCAAAUGACAAACUAAAUUACUUAAAAUGAAAAAAUUUUGAAUACCAAGUUGUUAGCUAUCAUCAAGAGCUAAACUUUUUAUAUAGACAAUUUUUCCAUUUGAGAAAGUUUAAGUUGACAAUACCCACCAAUUCUUGAAUCUCACACAAACUAUAUGAAACUAUAUGUGUCAAUUGUGGAUUUUCAACUACACCUUCCCAACACUUUGUCAAAUGCAAAAAUAGUCUAUAUAUUAAAUGUGGAUUUUGAAGAGUGGAACAAUAUUGGUAUUCAUGACUUUUCCAGUCGAGACCAUCUAGGGUUCCGAAAACCGAUGCGUGGCUAUGAAUUCUUUCAAAAUUCAAAAUUGAGUGGUUCAAACUUUUCCAAAAGAAAAGUUGACCAUUAGACCAAAUGUAGAACUUGAUGAGUGCAACAAACUUUGUAUUCAUUACUUUUCCAUUUGGGACCAUAUAUGGUUCGGUCAAAGUGUGUGUUUCUAAAAACCAAUGCUUUGACUUUGGUCAAACUUGGUUAAAUGACCCAUUUGAUGACUUGAAAUGAAAAAAAAAUUGAAUACAAAGUUGGUAGAGAUCAUCAAGAUCUACAUUUGAUAUAUUGUCCAUUACUAUAUGAAACUAUAUGUGUCAAUUGUGGAUUUUCAACUACAGCUUCCCAACACUUUGUCAAAUGCAAAAAUGGUCUAUAUAUUAAAUGUAGAUUUUGAUGAGUGGAACAAUAUUGGUAUUCAUGACUUUUCCAUUUGAGACCAUCUAGGGUUCUGAAAACCGAUGCGUGGCUAUGAAUUCUUUCAAAAUUCAAAAUUGAGUGGUUCAAACUUUUCCAAAACAAAAGUUGACCAUUAGACCAAAUGUAGAACUUGAUGAGUGCAACAAACUUUGUAUUCAUUACUUUUCCAUUUGGGACCAUAUAGGGUUCGGUCAAAGUGUGUGUUUCUAAAAAGCAAUGCUUUGACUUUGGUCAAACUUGGUCAAAUGACCCAUUUGAUGACUUGGAAUGAAAAAAAUUUGAAUACAAAGUUGGUAGAGAUCAUCAAGAUCUACAUUUGAUAUAUUGUCCAUUUUUCCAUUUGGAUAAAUUUGAGCCAAUCCUAAGCACAUUUGUUCAAAAUCCAAGACGGGCUUUGUUCAAACUUGGUCAAAUGACAAACUAAAUUACUUAAAAUGAAAACAUUUUGAAUACCAAGUUGUUAGAUAUCAUCAAGAUCUAAACUUUUUAUAUAGACAAUUUUUCUAUUUGAGAAAGUUUAAGUUGACAAUACCCACCAAUUCUUGAAUCUCACACAAACUAUAUGAAACUAUAUGUGUCAAUUGUGGAUUUUCAACUACACCUUCCCAACACUUUGUCAAAUGCAAAAAUGGUCUAUAUAUUAAAUUUAGAUUUUGAUGAGUGGAACAAUAUUGGUAUUCAUGACUUUUCCAUUCGAGACCAUCUAGGGUUCUGAAAACCGAUGCGUGGCUAUGAAUUCUUUCAAAAUUCAAAAUUGAGUGGUUCAAACUUUUGCAAAAGAAAAGUUUACCAUUAGACCAAAUGUAGAACUUGAUGAGUGCAAGAAACUUUGUAUUCAUUACUUUUCCAUUUGGGACCAUAUAAGGUUCGGUCAAAGUGUGUGUUUCUAAAAAGCAAUGCUUUGACUUUGGUCAAACUUGGUCAAAUGACCCAUUUGAUGACUUGAAAUGAAAAAAAUUUGAAUAGAAAGUUGUUAGAGAUCAUCGAGAUCUACAUUUGAUAUAUUGUCCAUUUUUCCAUUAGGAUAAAUUUGAGCCAAUCCUAAGCACAUUUGUUCAAAAUCCAAGGCGGGUUUUGGUUAAACUUGGUCAAAUGACAAACUAAAUUACUUAAAAUGAAAAAAUUUUGAAUACCAAGUUGUUAGCUAUCAUCAAGAUCUAAACUUUUUAUAUAGACAAUUUUUCCAUUUGAGAAAGUUUAAGUUGACAAUACCCACCAAUUCUUGAAUCUCACACAAACUAUAUGAAACUAUAUGUGUCAAUUGUGGAUUUUCAACUACACCUUCCCAACACUUUGUCAAAUGCAAAAAUAGUCUAUAUAUUAAAUGUAGAUUUUGAAGAGUGGAACAAUAUUGGUAUUCAUGACUUUUCCAUUUGAGACCAUCUAGGGUUCCGAAAACCGAUGCGUGGCUAUGAAUUCUUUCAAAAUUCAAAAUUGAGUGGUUCAAACUUUUCCAAAACAAAAGUUGACCAUUAGACCAAAUGAAGAACUUGAUGAGUGCAACAAACUUUGUAUUCAUUACUUUUUUAUUUGGGACCAUAUAGGGUUCAGUCAAAGUGUGUGUUUCUAAAAAGCAAUGCUUUUACUUUGGUCAAACUUGGUCAAAUGACCCAUUUGAUGACUUGAAAUGAAAAAAAUUUGAAUACAAAGUUGUUAGAGAUAAUCCGAUGUAAUGGUGAAUAUUGUUGUAAGCAUAAAUAAAUAAGAAAUAGAGAAAAAAUUUAAAAAAUAAUCCGAUGUAAUGAUGAAUAUCACGUAUAUCAUGAUUUUGGAGAUAAAUGAUGAUAAAUAAACAAAAUCUACGUUUAAAUAUUGCACAAACAAAUUUUCUAUCAAAAACAUCGACUUUAAGAUAUUAAAAUUAAAUAAUACAUUUUUGCAUUAACAAAAUACUAAUUAUUUUUCAUAUUUAAAUUUGCUAAUAUAAGUGAUGAAAAGAUUUUAUGUUUCCAAAUUUAUUAUGUAAGCAAUUAGACAAAAAGAAAUAGAACUAUUACUUUUUAACAAAUUAAUACAUAUUAUUCUAUUUACUAUACAAUUAACAACAUUAAUCUAAUUAUUGUAUGCAUAAAUAAAUAAAAAACAGAAAAAUACAUUUAGUCCCGGUUCCUCGCUAGAACCGGGACUAAAGGUUGCCUUUAGUCUCGGUUCUAUCCAGGAACCGGGACUAAAGGGUGGACCUUUAGUCCCGGUGCGUAGCACCAACCGGAACUAAAGACCGUUUAGUCCCGGUUGGUGCUACGCACCGAGACUAAAGGUCGCCGUAGCUAUUUAUACGAACAGUCUUCUUCCUCCUCGAUCUUGUUGCCCUAAUUCUUCCUCCGCCGCGCGCCGCUCCUCCCCGUCGUCGCCUCGCCCUCGUCCCCGGCCGAGCGCCGUCGUCUGGAGCCUAGGAGCGUCGCCGCCGCCACCGCAGCCGAAGAGCGCCCCCACCACCACCGCCACCGAGCCGAGGAGCGCCUCCACCACCGCUUCUUCUCCGGCACCGACGCUUCUUUCUCCGGCGACUGUACCGGCACCGAGCGCUUCUUCUCCGGCGACCGUACGCCGCGCGCGUUCCUUCUUCUCCGGCGACCGUACACCGCGCGAGCUUCUUCUCCCUCGGCCGCUAUAGUACGAUGAUGACCUCUCGGCCGGCACACUUGUUGCAUUGUGAUUAUUUUUUUAGAAACUAUAUAUGUUGUUGAGCGCUUUGUAUAUAUAUUGAGAUGAGAUGUAUAAUUUUUAUUUUAUAAUUUACUAGGAAAACAUGCCCGUGCGUUGCAACGGGAGAAAAAAUACUAAUAUGUCCAAGUCUAAUAAACAAGUGGACAUUUUCUUUGUAAGGAAUAGACAAUUAAACAUGGUUUGAGACUUUUUUUAAAUUACUCGUCAUUAUUGCUCACUGAUUUCUAUUUGCAUAUACAAUCUAUGUUCAUAGUAUUCACGUGUAGACAAUCAAGUAAAAUGUGUGAACGAGUCCAUAUAUAUUCAUAGUUAUAUAUACUUUGUAACUUUUAAAUUCUAUUGUAGGAAGACAAUAUUUAACAUAAUUUGUCUUUGUCUUCAUCUAUUCUGUUCUAUGAUAUAAAUAAAUUCUUUUGAAAAUAAUUAUCAUUGUCUUGUUAAACAUGUUAAAUAUUUGCAAAAGUAAAGUUAGGUGAUGCGAACUCAAACAUGAAAUAAGUUGUGCACAGACACUAUAUAAGAAUGAAUUUUAUUGGAUCAUAUAACAACCCCAAAAAGAGUCACUGUUUAUUUGUGCUUCAUGUCAAGGUAAAAGCAAGCGUCUAACUAAAUCGACUGUUAUUAUGUGUUGGUUUGUAUUUUAACCAUCAAUUAAAAAAAUUGAGUUAGCAGGAGCACAAGUAUGAAAUAAAAAUUAUUGUACCCAACUCCCAACAAUAUAUUCCAAGAGUCACCAAAUUUAAUUUUCUAUUUCCAAACUUUAACUAUCCUUUCGCUUUGAACUUCCUAUCGGCUUCGUCUCGAGCACACUUAUAUUUAUCAAUUUUAUUUCGGUUUUUCAUUUGGAAUGAGAUGUUUUGCUACCAGUGUAUUCCGGUGUAUCCGUACCAGAUUUUGUAUUUUAGAUUUAUUUGUAGCCUUUUUUCACUUCGAACUUCCUAUCAGCUUCAUCCGGGCCAUACUUAUCAAUUCUAUUCGAGUAUAGCGUUCGGAAUUAGAUGUUUGCGUACAAUUAUUGUGACGUACCAUUCUGGAUUUAUCAUUUCAUACAUUCAAUAUAUUCUAGCCUUUUUGCUUAUUACAAAUAAAGUCCACAAAAAUUAACCUUUAAUAAAAACCAAAGAAAUUAGUUAGUAGGGAUAGAUAUUGAGAUGAGAUGUAUAAUUUACAUUUUAUAAUUUAUCUUUUGUAUUAUAUAAUUUAUAUGAUAUAAUUUAUCCUAUGUUGUAAUUAGUUUAUGUUAGCCCUUAGUUGUAAUUAGUUUAUUGUUAUAUAUGUAUCAUGUAUAUAAAAGCUUAAUUAGUUUAUGUUAGCCCUUAGUUGUUGUAUCGAAUAUUUUCGAAACUAAACAAGUCUUUAGUUGUUGUAUCGAAUAAUUUAUAGAAUAAAAGCUUUAGUUGUAUCCAAAUAUUAUCUAAGUUUAGCCUAUCCAAAUAAUUUUUGUUGAUCACGUCAAAAACAUUUAACACUUGAUUAAAUUUGCGCAAAUGGCCAAUCCGAAUGACAACAUGGAUGAUGCAAUGAUGGACCUAAUCAACAGCGGUGCCAAUCCAGAUCCCCAAGGCGAAGAUGAUGGGAGUCAGUACUUUGCUGAUUAUGAAGAACUUGUGGGAGACAAUCUUGAUGAGGUCUAUCUACAAUCUAGUAUAUAUGUAUAUAUAUGAAAUUAAAAUAAAUGACAUUUAUACUAAUAUAUUUAUACUUGUUUGUGUAGCCCUCUAAAUCGGCGACAACUUCUGAGAAGAGUAGAAAAGUGCGCGGCCCGAAGAAGCCGUUGGAGGGUCGGUACAUUCUAUCGGAAUUCGAUGAGGGUACAGAACAAGUACUUGGGACUAAUUCUAAAAAAUUUGUUGCGCACUGUGGCUACCUUGUAAGGGACAGGCUCCCGUCAUUGCUCGUGAAUGGAGGCAACGGAAAGAUAACCCUAAUAUUAGUUUUGUCUCAGAUCGUGACAAGGAAUUGAUUUGGCUAGAUAUCCUUUAACAUUUCACACUCGAUACACAGGAUGAAGCUUUGAAGGAGAAGGUUAAAAUCUAGGCUAUACAGAAGAUGGCCAAACAAUUUCAGGCUUGGAAGAAGACAUUAUACAAGACUUUUGUUGCACAAGGCCGGACACCAGAUUUCACCAAUAAGGCCUACGUCAAGUUGAGGCCUUUUUGGGAUGAGUUCGUAGAGUUUAAGAACUCAGAAGAGGGUCAGGCACGGAUGGUCAAGAAUCAGGAAAAUGCUAAACAAAAGCAAUACCACCAUCACUUGGGUUCAGGUGGCUACAAGACUGCUAUUCCUAAGUGGCAAAAGCUGGAACAGGAGAUUCUUGGGAGAGGGAUCAAACCAGAAUCAAUGCACUGGCCUGAGUGCGCCAAGUAUUGGUUCUUCAGUCACGGGGGAACCAUAGACCUAGAGACCGGAAAGAUAGUGUACGGCGAAAAGCUCGAGAGAGUAGGAUAGAGAAUGGCCUAUGCUAGAGGAUUAGUUGAAAGCGGCACCUGGCAGCCAAAUAGAGAAAAGGAUGAGCUAACAUACGCCCUGGAGACUGCUGAACACGGUGGGCGAACAAGAGGCUAUGGGGAGGUAUCGUGGGAGCAUGGCUUCCAUAAAGAUAGACCGACUUAUAGAAGCCGCCAACAAAAGAAGGAAGAGGAAGCAGAGCGGUUGCGUAGGUUGGAGGCAAUGGUGAUGGAGUCACGCGAAGCGGCUCGUGAAGCGAUAGCGCGAGAGAAAGCGCUUGAAGAGAGAAUGAACGAGGAGAUCAAAAGACAAGUGCAGAUUGGAGUAAGUUCUAUACAAGGGCAAACUGCAUCAGAGCCUAGAGUCAACAUUAGCCCCCCCAGUCAGUAGAAAAAUAGUUGCGCUUCCACGGAGAUGCCAAUUAUUCAAGACGACGUGGGGCUACACUUUUCGGUGGAUGACAUCACUGAACCUCUGACAACAUGUGAGCUGCACAUUCCACAGGGGACUGCCACUGUCAUGGUUGCUGUCGCUGUUGUAACUCCUGUCGACCCUUUGAGGACACCAAGAAUCCAUGGGGCAAUAGUUCCACCUGGAUAUGCUAGUGUCUCGGUGGAUAGAUGAAAGGUCCUAAUAUGGCUAGAAGGGGGUGAAUAGCCUAUUUAAAAAAUCUACAAACUCACUAGAGCAAGAGGUUAGUAAAUAACAAAGCGAAGCUUUUUGCUCUAGCUCUAAUAGGGUGUUUGCAAGCCACCUAUCCAACAAUUCUAGUUGAUAUAAUCACUAGGCACACAAGAGCUAUGUCACUACUUACACUAGAAAGCUACCUAAAGUUUCUAUACAAGUAAGCUACUCUAGUUUGCGGGAAUGUAAAAGAGAUGGUUUGAACUUUAUACCGCCGCGUAGAGGGGAUGAACCAAUCAAUAAUAUAAAGUCCAAUCACCGGGAGAAAUCCAAUGAACAAUCACAAUGGAGACACACAAUUUUUCUCCCGAGGUUCACGUGCUUGCCGGCACGCUACGUCCCCGUUGUGUCGACCAACACUUGGUGGUUCGGUGGCUAAGAGGUGUAGCACGAACCUUGUCCUCACUAGGACACCACAAGAACCUACCCACAAGUGAGGUAACUCAAUGACACGAGCAAUCCACUAGAGUUACCUUUCGGCUCUCCGCCGGGGAAGGUACUAGACCCUUUCGGCUCUCCGCCGGGGAAGGUACUAGACCCCUCACCAUCACCGGGAGAUGGCCACGAACAAUCACCAACUCGUGCCAAUGCUCCUCCGCUGCUCCAAGCCGUCUAGAUGGCGGCAACCACCAAGAGUAACAAGAAAACCGCAGCCAAAUCGAUCCCCAAGUGCCACUAGAUGCAAUCACUCAAGCAAAUGCACUUGGAAUCACUCCCAAUCUCACAAAGAUGUUUAAUCGAAGAAGGAGAUGAGUGGGAGGUGUUUGCUUAGGCUCACAAGGAUGUCAAGUAGUCAAGAAUGCCAAGAGAGUGAGCCCUAAGCCGGCCAACAACUAUUUAUAGACCCCUCAAACAAAUAGAGCCGUUGGCUCUCUCACUGGGUCUAACUCGGGGUCACCGGACGCUCAACACCAACGUUCGGUGCUCCAACGUCAGCCGCGUGUCAGAAUCUAACGGUAACCUGUAGUGCACCGGACGCUGAGCAAGUUAGCACUGGACGCGUCCGGUGCACCCCGGACUCAUGCGCGAGAGUUCCGCAAACCUGCGGGUCACCGGACGCUGAGCACCUGUAGCGUCCGGUGCUCACCGGACCCAUGCGCAGAGAGGGUCGCAAAACGCCUGCACACCGGACGCUAACCACCGGACGCACAGGCCUGCGUCCGGUGCCUGUCGUCCGGUGCCUUACCCUAGCUGGGCCAGGCACUGUCUGCACCGAAUGCUUAGACGCAGCGUCCGGUGCUCCAGAAGCCAGCGUCCGGUGAGUGUUUUCUCAGCGAGAAACACUCCCACGACUUCUCCAAAUUUCCCACCGGCGCAAUAGAAAAAAUGCACUUCAUUUUCUCGAAAAGCAAUCCCGUCUCGCAAGCUCGGUGGGAGGGAGAGAGGAACCCAUCCUUUCUCUACCCUUCAAACUUCAACUCCCUUCUCAAAGUGUGCCAACACCACAAAGUGUGUACCAACAAGUGCACGUCUGUUAGCAUUUUCACAAACAUUUUCUUCGAAGGAGUUAAGUUAGCUCACUACGUUCUAAAUGCAUGCACAUGAACAAUGACACCUAGUGGCACUUGAUAACCGCUUAGCCAAAGAAUUCCCCUCUUUAUAGUAUGGCUAUUUAUCCUAAAUGUGAUCACACUCUCUAUGGUGUCUUGAUCACCAAAACCAAAACCCUAAGCAAUACCUUUGCCUUGAUCUCCAUAGGGUUUUGUUUUUCUCUUUCUUCUUUUCCAAGUUGAGCACUUGAUCACCUUGUGGUCAUCACCAUCAUCACCAUGAUCAUCACUUGCUCCAUCACUUGGCAUGUACCAACCUCAUUAAGUCUACACACACUUAGCAUAGAGGUUAGUACUAGGGUUUCAUCAAUUAUCCAAAACCAAACUAGGGCUUUCAAUCUCCCCAUUUUUGGUAAUUGAUGACAACACUUUUUACAAAGAUUUUCAAUAAAAUUUUCUUGGAUUCAUGUUGCUUGCCCAAGCAUUUUACCACGUGCAAAGGUUAUGGACAAGUUUCAUAAACCCAAAUUGGUAGCAAUUGCUCCCCCUACAUAUGUGAUAAGAGUUUGGAUUUGAAAGCUUGCACAUAAGCUUGAAUAGGAAACAUAGGAGUCAAUUUCUACCAAAUGAUGCUAAGGUGUAAAGAAUGGACCUUUGAAGCGUGAUACCAAUCGGAGUUGCCAAUGUAUACCAUCCUUAGCACCAUUAGUAACUAGACAUUCACAAAACUAGAACACCCAAUGAGAUCAACAUUAUAAACAAGGUUCUAGUACCACUUGUGAAACAACUAAAAGUCUAGUUACGCUACCUAUGCAUGCUAGUUCUUCAUUUCAUCAAACAAACUUACAACUAGCAUACACCACACAAGCAAGGCAUUGGAGAGAAAGCUCCUAAAGCUAAUGCAAAUGCAAGCAAACAUAUGUCAUGCACAUUCAAAUGCAACAUAUAAGUUUAUGAGCUUGCUCCCCCUACUUGUGUGCUUCAAAAUUUUAAUUGAUCCCCUUCUUUUAUCAUGUUACUUCCUAUCUUUGUAUUUCCUUUGUAAUUUCUCCCCCUUUGCCAUCAAUGACCACAAAAGGUGAGCUCAAAUUUUAAAUAGGAUAGUGUGAAACUAUGUGAAGUUAAAUUAUUUUCCCAAAUUUGGUCCAAUCUAGAUUACUUGCCUAAGAUAUUUAACUCGGUUUGAUCCAAGGACAAGCUUCUUAACACCUCCAAAUAAGGGUUAUCUUGUACCAUGUUGAGUUAAACACUUAUAGCUCAUAUUCUAGAUCAAACACCAGGAUUGCAAGCCCACAAACAUGUCAUAUGCUACCACUAGAUCAAGUCAAGCAUAAAAGCAAUAGUGGUACUAUACAAGCAUCAAAUUCAUUUGAUUUUCAUGAAUGAUCCUAAGACAUGGGAGGAAUGACUAGAUGCACUAAACCAGUCCUUAGCAUAGGAUGAAUGACAUGUCAAUCAAUGUUACAUUGCUUUGCUCGAAGGAGAGGCAUGUCAUAUAGUGGGGGUGCAUCAACACAUAUUUGAGAAGUCAAGUAUUUUCAAUUCAUUCCUUAGCUUGCAAAACCUUUUCUCAUCAAGUGGCUUGGUGAAUAUGUCGGCAAGUUGAUCAUCGGUGCCUAUACUCUCAAUGCAAAUGUCCCCUUUUUGUUGGUGAUCUCUUAUGAAAUGAUGGCGGACAUCUAUGUGCUUUGUUCUUGAGUGUUGAACCGGAUUGUUGGUGAGCUUCACGGCACUUUCAUUGUCACAUAGCAAUGGCACUUGCUUGAAGUUGAUUCCAAAAUCUUUCAAGGUUGCCUUCAUCCAUAGGAUUUGUGCACAACAACUUCCGGCCGCAAUGUACUCCGCUUCGGCGGUUGAUAGUGCAACACUAUUUUGCUUCUUGGAUGACCAUGAGACAAGUGAUCACCCAAUAGUUGACAUGUGCCCGAUGUGCUUCUUCUCUCAACUUUGCAUCCCGCAUAGUCCGAAUCAGAAUAUCCAACAAGUUCAAACUUUGCACCUUUGGGAUACCACAAACCAACAUUUUGUGUAUGCUUCAAGUACCUCAAUAUUCUCUUUGUUGCUUUCAAAUGACUUUCUCUUGGCGAGGCUUGGAAUCUUGCAUACAUACAUGCACUAAACAUGACAUCCGGUCUUGAUGCGGUCACAUAGAGUAGGCUUCCAAUCAUAGACCGAUACAACUUUUGAUCCACCAUAUUUCCACUUGUAUCACUAUCUAGGCUUCCAUUUGUUCCCAUUGGAGUGCUAAUUGACUUUGCAUCAUCCAUUCCAAACUUCUUGAGUAUGUCUUUUAUGUACUUGCCUUGACUCACAAAUAUGCCAUUCUUCAAUUGCUUGAUUUUAAGACCAAGGAAGUAACUAAGCUCUCCAAUCAUUGACAUCUCAAACUCAUUAGCCAUCAUGUUUCCAAACUCCUCACAAAAUUCUUGGUUGGUUGAUCUAAAUAUGAUAUCAUCAACAUAUAUUUGCAUCACAAACAAGUCUUUGCCAAUCUUCUUGGUGAAGAGAGUGGUGUCAACCUUGCCCAUCUUGAAACCUUUAGAUAGUAAGAAAUCUCUCAAUCUCUCAUAUCAUGCCCUUGGUGCUUGCUUCAAACCAUACAAAGCCUUUCUUAGCUUGUAAACAUGGUUGGGUUUCUUGUCAUCUUCAAAACUGGGUGGUUGCUCAACAUAAACUUCUUCAUUGAUAUAGCCAUUGAGAAAUGCACUCUUCACAUCCAUUUGGUAGAGCUUGAUGUUAUGAGCACAAGCAUAGGCCAACAAGAUCCUAAUUGCUUCCAAUCUUGAACCGGGGCAUAUGUUUCACCAAAGUCAAGACCUUCAACUUGAGUAUAGCCUUGUGCUACCAAUCUUGCUUUGUUCCUUACAACUAUCCCAUCUUGAUCUUGCUUGUUGCAAAAGACCCAUCUAGUACCAAUAACAUUGUGAUCACUAGGCCUCUCAACUAAUUCCCAUACUUGAUUUCUCUUGAAAUUGUUAAGCUCUUCAUGCAUAGCAUUAACCCAAUCAACAUCUCUCAAUGCGUCAUCAAUCUUCUUUGGCUCAAUAUGAGACACAAAGAUGAAAUGCUCACAAAAUGAUGCUAGUCUCGAUCUAGUUCGCACUCCUCUUUGAAUAUCACCAAUGAUAUGAUCCAAUGGAUGAUCUCUUCCAAUGUUUGUUGGUUGGAGUAUUUGCACUUGAUUGCUUGCACUUGGUUGAUCAUGAGAUGAUGUACUAGCUGUUGACGGUCCUUAAGUAUCAAAUUUAACUAUCAAAUAAACAAAGAAAAUGAUCCAAAUGAAAUCAACAUCGAGACUUAGGGUUUUAUCUGACAGAAUUCCACGAGUUUUGGUGUUUGUCUAUUUCUGCAGGGGGUUAUCAGGAAAUAAGGAAGAAAGGCCCACACGUCGGGAUUACAUAGAGAUAUCAACGUGCCGCGCAAUUAUCUUACAUCUAGAAGACUCCAGAAGCCACGGGAAGGAAGCGGAGACCGAACGGAGUCAGGGACAGGGUGCCCGCCCAAGUCCUUAGGGCGCCCGCCCACCUUUUUCGGCCAAUCACGCUCAAUCUCGCGGAUUAUGCUCCACCGACCUAAAGGAUCAAGAAUAACCGUUCAAUCAAUGUCGGUUUGAUCCGACGGCCCAGGUUCACUUGAGGGGACUAUAAAACCAGACCCCUUGGCCCCUGGAGGAGGAACCCCUUGAUCAUUAUUCAUUAUUCAUAGACAGAGCAAAAGCUAGGGUUUAGAGAUGAGAGCUCUCCUCUCUUCUCUAAACUAGAGUAGAUCAAGAUAGUAGCGAGAUGGAGAGCGAAGGAGGAUUAGAGGAGAGGCCGGCCUGUCGGUUCUUCCUCCAGUUGUACUUCGCCAUGAUCAAGCUCUAAUCAAGCUUGCUCAUGGGAUGACUCUGGUAAUCUGCUUCUAAUUCAUUAUGCAAUUACUAAUCAUGUAUGUUCUGGUUCACAACUCUUUUGAGUACUUCUAAUUUAUAGGACCCUAUAGGUUAGAGUUGUAGUAUAGGUGUAAGCGUGGUGCUUAGACCUAGAUUACUUGUGGAUAUCCCCUGACUAGCUGGAUCGUAUGGUAGGCCGCGUAGGUGACAGUUACGUUGGUCCCCUGUAGUCCACCUCUCGUUAGCAGGACGGGUAGGGUUUAUCGGCUUAUGGAUAAGCAUCCUUUGUGGUGUACUCUUAUCAUGUGGUUCGUCCCAGACAUAGACAUACCCCUUUGAAGUAGAGAAACCAUAGUUAUCCUCUCUAUUCUGCUACCAUCGCCCAUAUACUAGAAUUGCUCUAUUCUCUAUUCCCAUAUUAUCACUCACUGUUAUCUUACCUUUAGUAUUGUUCUUAUUCGAUUCUACCAUCUUUCCUAUUCACACCUAUUUACUUAUCUUGGUUAAGUUAGAGCGUAGAUUAGUUCUCCCGUUUUCCUGUGGAUACGAUAAAACCUUUAACCGGGUAAAAGCUUCAACGGUAUCCGUGCGCUUGCGGAUUAUCUGUGUGCGUAUAAAUACUAUAGUACACUCUAGUGCCAUGCUGGGGAUGACAACCUAGUAUUCAAGUGGUGUUAGCAAGUGUCAACAAGCAUUUUUGGCGCCGUUGCCGGGGAUCGAACGGUUGCUGAGUUGACUACGAACUAGUUUAAUCAUUUUAUAAAAAAUAAAUAAAAAAAAAUAUUUUCCUUUUAUCCUUUGCCUCAUCUCUGCUAUUCUUUCUUCUUAUAUAAUCCUUGAUCUCUGGUCUAUUAUGAAUUCAAACAUGUCUAUCUAUGAAUUUCAUAGACCUAUGGGCACACAUCUCGAACCACCAAAAUCUUCAAAGCCUAUCAUAGCAUCUAGUUUUGAGAUAGACCCCGAAUACAUAGAAUUUAUUCAAAAACAACCUUUCUCAGGAAAAGGUGAGGAAAACCCAUACACACACCUAAGAGAGUUUUAUCGAGUCUGUGACCUCCUUCGCAUAGAAGGCAUGUCCGAUGAGACCCUUAAAUGGAAGCUCUUUCCGUUCUCUUUAACGGGAAAAGCUAGACAUUGGUAUAAACUCAAAGUAGGGAGUGUUCAUGGAGAUUGGAAGGAGUUAUAUAGUAGUUUUCUUUCUAAAUAUUUUCCAAUCUCCAAAGUGGUGGAACUUCGGCGUGAGAUUCUUUCUUUUAGACAACUGGAAGAAGAAUCUCUUGGCAAAUCAUGGGACCGCUUUAUUAACCUUACUCUCACUGGCCCAAAACUUUCUAUUCCAGAAGAAGUUCUUCUACUUCACUUUUUUGAGGGCCUUAGUAGGAAAAAUAAGCAAACCCUUCAUGCGGCCUCUGGAGGAUCUUUCCACCACCUAUCCGCUAGUGAAGCUUGGAAUUUGAUUGAUUUAAUGAGCGGAAAGUCUCCUAGCUUUUAUAUCCCUGAGAAAGAGAAAGAACCAGUUCCUAGACAAGAAGAAGAAGUUUCGAUAGCCAGAUCACAACCACUUCAAUCCCAAACUUUAGCUAUCGAUCCUAAACCAUCAAUACCCCAAAAUUCUCCAAGGGAGGAAGGAAUUCCGACCUUAAAUCUUUUAGAUGCUGAUGGUUUACUCUUCUGGUUCUAUAAGAGACCUUCAAGCAGGGAUAAUUCAAAUCAUUGCAAUAAUGUUUCUCUUAGAGAAUGUCCUGGUUCCUAUCAUGAAGAAGUCGAGGAUGACAUAUCAAGUGAAGGAGAGCUAAGCCAUAUAGACAAUUCUAUCUACUCCCCUUCCAUGUUCACAAGUUCUAAAUCCAUCCUUGACCUUAGAGAUCCCUCUUAUCCCUCUUCUUUUCAGUCUCAUGAUGAUCCUAGAAAUUCACCAAGACGACCAAACCAUAGGAGUCAUGAAGACCAUAAGGAUGGCAUGUCAAGUAAUGCCAUAGAAGGAGAGCUAAGCCAUAUAGAAAAUUCUAACACCUCCCCUAUUUUGAUCACAAGUUCUAAAUGGCUAGAAUGUGUAGAAUGGAUGGAUAAGGAAGAAGCCUUAAUGGGUUCUGACUUUGGCUCAAUUUCAAAUGGUGAGUUCUUGACUCCCUUUGAAGAUGAGAUUCAUCCAACUACAGAAGAGGACAUAGGUGAGACCAAUCCAGGAGAAACUCCGAACAUUCAGAUUAGAGACGAAGAUAACAUUAAUGAGCAUGGAAUUUAUUUCAUAGCCACUUCGUUUACUCCAUGCUCAUAUGCAACAUCUUCCCAAUCUAUUGGUCUCUCCGACAUCACCACACUUGAGAUCUCCAACCCCCUCUUCCUUUCUAUUUAUAAAAACUUUAAAAGGGCAGUUGUCGAUGCAUAUGUCUAUAAUAAAUAUUGCAGAUCUCGUUGAGUUGAUCUAGAUAUAGGUUGGCGUCGGAGGGGAAACCACUUCGCCAACAUAAACUGAUGGUUUCCCAAGGACAAGCUUAGUGUCUUAAAAUAAGCAUUGAUCAGAUCAUAACAUGAGCCUUUAAUUAUUUGCAACAUUACCUUGUGUAUUGAGCAUAUAAGGAUAAUUGUAAAAAAAAUAUAUUCCUUCGGGUAUUCUUGUCACUAACCUUUCUAAGAUUGGAGCAAGAAGAUCGGAUGAAUGACAAGCACAAGGUAUGUCCAACAAAUCAUCAUACAACAUUGAAUUAAAUUCAUCCAAACUUGAAUUUUGCAAAAUUCAAGCUUGGGGGAGUACUUUACAUAAAAACAUCCUUUGCCAUGUUGCUAUGCUGGUUGUCCCUACCUUUGAGACAUGCUCAAUUUGUUAAAUACUAAUCACACUACUUCAUCUCCACUUGAGUAGAUCUCUAUAAACGCUGUCAUGCUACCUUUGUCUAUUUACUAGCAAGUGUUGGUUUGGAAGUACUCGCCAUACUUCCAUUGGCAUUUAAAUUAAGCAUGGUGCUUAGGUUAAAUAGCCUUCCUUAAUCUGAUUAGACAUGGAGUCUAGUUUGGUUAUUGAACUAAAAAAACUGCUUGAGUAGAUAUUGGUAUAUUUUGUCGGACUAACCCCUACAGAAAAACUUUCAAUAUCGAUUUGGGAAGUCCUGAGAUAAACUCACAUCAGAGACGAAGAGAGUGACACAUGAAGUUUAACAAUUUGCACAAGAAGGACAUAGCUCAUUCAUCAUAGAGAGAUGAUCCAUGGAGGGUGCCACAAACACGACGCACAACCGCUAAGAAAGGAAAGCUUCCACAAGAUGAUAUUGUACCAUCACUCUUCGAGCAAGGUUACAUCUUAAGGUACUUGACUAUCACUUUUAUAAGCUUCUCCUUGGUUCUAGCGUUUAUAUAAAUAAAAGAGACAAACGUGUAUGAUUUACAACUCUAGAUUAACCAACCCAACUGAUUCAACAUGUUUAGUCAUUUAAUCCUUGUUCUUAGUACUACCUCCAUGAUCCCACACUCCUAAUCAUAUGAGCUAAAAUGUUACACAUUCAAUCAUUGAGAGAUAUAAAGAAAAAGACAUAUACAUAGAUAGAUUAUCUUUCCAUAAGGUUGAGCGAUCUGAUCUGACAAAUGUCACUCAUGAACUUAUCAUCCAUCAACUUGUCUUGCUCACUAUGCUUAAGGUUAGAGAAGAACAAAUACACUUUUGGUUCUGUUGGUGUUUUCCACCAACAGGGCCCAUGCACUUGAUCUCUGCCUUAUCUCUAUGAGCAGGUACACUACGAGCACAAACACACUGAGCAAGAUACUGCUAACACCGCACUUCGAACUGCUGGGCAAACGAAGAACAUGGGUGACACCGUAUUAAAAGGUGCAGACGUCAAGGUCCGCACCUGAAUCAAAUGACGCACCUGAAGAAUGAACACGGUGAGAAGUCUUAUUCAGAAGACUUAAAACAUUGAAUCCUCGCCGAAAGAUAAAAUCGGUAGUUACCCAUAUUUAUCCUUUCUACAUUCCCUUUUCCCUUUAAUUACUUACUUUCCUUAAAUAGAUUAUUAGUUAAUCAUGCUAUCUUGAAAAGAAAAAUAAAAAUGUUAAAAAAUACUAAGCCCCAUGUGAGUAUACGAGUGGCAUAAAACCCAUAAGUACCUUCACUAUGGUGGCAUAAAAAUAAAAUAAAUAUUUAUUUUCUACUUUAUAAAAUAAAAAUAUAAAAACAGGGAGUAAUAUUUAUUGAGGAAGCUCAACGUGAUGAAGGCUAGAUAUUUAUGCUAACACGUAAUUAGUUCCACAAGCUUUGUUGUCUAUUUGAGCUCCACAGAAUUUAAGAAUCAAAAAGACUAGUAGACGGAGGACAUUCUAAUCGCUGUUAGAAUGCUGCUGACUUUCAAAUACACCUCUGCCACCUGCUAGCUACAUCAAGAGAAAUUACGUCAAAAUUCAGCUUGGGGGAGAGCACCCCCAUUUAUCUCGCUAAGUAUUUCUACCUAUCUUUAUACUUAUAUUAUAUUAGAAUAUUAAAAUACAUAAACUAUGAAAAACCAAAUAAAGAUUUUGUGCUUAUAUAUAUAUCUUUUACUUAGUGUGUUUAAUAAAUAAAUAAAGUGGCUAUGCUAAUCUGAAUCUUAAUAAUAAAACUCUAGCAUGGAUAUGAUGAAUAGUUGCUCUGCCUAAUUUGCAAAUUUGAAGUUCUCUCUCAAGUUUAGACAUAACUGUUAUAAUUUAAAGCUUGCUCUAGAUCUAAACUUGUGGGAUGAAAACUUGAUCUGAAAUCUAAGUUGUUAACGGAUAUGAUAUGGGAAGGUUGAGCUGCUGUUUAUCUAUUCCUAGAGAUGCUAGAAUUCUGGAGAAUUUUAUCUUUGAAAAAUCUUUAAAAUAUUGCAUGAUGAGUUCCUGUAUGAUGAAAGUUUAAAUUCCUACCACAGCCAUAUAUACAUGCUUGCUAGAUUUUGAGCCACACAUUUAUUAUUUACUGCUUAUGAGCAUUGAGUGUGGUCAAGCUGUGUAGACCCUUAGGAGCUUGUCAUGCGGUUAAAUCAAGAUUCACUUGCACGUUCACUCAUAUAUAUGCUACUUCUACUCCGGAAGUACCAUCCACAUAUAUCCAUCCAUUUCCAUCUCCAGAAUCACCUAAAAAUAUUCUACUCCUAAUUCGGGAGAGAAUAGCCAAAAACAUCUGUGUUUUUCCCUUGUGAAAUAAAUGCUCAAGUUAUCUUGCUACUACCACUUGCUAUAUUAUCUUAAGAGAUGAGUGCUCUGAAAAAAAAGAAGAAAAUAAAAAGAGAAAAGAAAAAAAAUAAACGAGGAAAUAAAAAGGGGCAAGUGCCCGGAACCUCGAAAGAAAAGAAAAAGAGUGAGACGAGAGGUAAAAAUGGACAAGUGUCCGACAGUAGAAUUAGGCGUACAGGAUACCCAUCCGAGAGAAAAGAAAAAGAAGAGCAUCUCAUUCUCCUCAUAAAGUUUCAAAAAGCAAGGAAGGUAUGUAUCCCCUCAAAAGAGCAAAAGUAGAAUUAGACUUUCACCAUUGUUAUCACCAUCAUCACCAUACACUAUUCAUUCGCCACACAUGCACAUCUUGAUUUGGCUUAUUGAUUUGUUUCUUUGGAUCCAUGGUUUGACUAUACAAUAAAUGUCUUGUAAGUAUGUAUAUUUUAUCUCCCACCAUUGUAAGUAAGUCUAUCCUUGCUCAGGGACGAGCAAGAGGUAAGCUUGGGGGAGUUUGUUGACGGUCCUUAAGUAUCAAAUUUAACUAUCAAAUAAACAAAGAAAAGGAUCCAAAUGAAAUCAACAUCGAGACUUAGGGUUUUAUCUGACAGAAUUCCACGAGUUUUGGUGUUUGUCUAUUUCUGCAGGGGGUUAUCAGGAAAUAAGGAAGAAAGGCCCACACGUCGGGAUUACAUAGAGAUAUCAACGUGCCGCGCAAUUAUCUUACAUCUAGAAGACUCCAGAAGCCACGGGAAGGAAGCGGAGACCGAACGGAGUCAGGGACAGGGCGCCCGCCCAAGUCCUUAGGGCGCCCGCCCACCUUCUUCGGCCAAUCACGCUCAAUCUCGCGGAUUAUGCUCCACCGACCUAAAGGAUCAAGAAUAACCGUUCAAUCAAUGUCGGUUUGAUCCGACGGCCCAGGUUCACUUGAGGGGACUAUAAAACCAGACCCCUUGGCCCCUGGAGGAGGAACCCCUUGAUCAUUAUUCAUUAUUCAUAGACAGAGCAAAAGCUAGGGUUUAGAGAUGAGAGCUCUCCUCUCUUCUCUAAACUAGAGUAGAUCUAGAUAGUAGCGAGAUGGAGAGCGAAGGAGGAUUAGAGGAGAGGCCGGACUGUCGGUUCUUCCUCCGGUUGUACUUCAAGUAUAGGUGUAAGCGUGGUGCUUAGACCUGGAUUACUUGUGGAUAUCCCCUGACUAGCUGGAUCGUAUGGUAGGCCGCGUAGGUGACAGUUACGUUGGUCCCCUGUAGUCCACCUCUCGUUAGCAGGACGGGUAGGGUUUAUCGGCCUAUGGAUAAGCAUCCUUUGUGGUGUACUCUUAUCAUGUGGUUCGUCCCAGACAUAGACAUACCCCUUUGAAGUAGAGAAACCAUAGUUAUCCUCUCUAUUCUGCUACCAUCGCCCAUAUACUAGAAUUGCUCUAUUCUCUAUUCCCAUAUUAUCACUCACUGUUAUCUUACCUUUAGUAUUGUUCUUAUUCGAUUCUACCAUCUUUCCUAUUCACACCUAUUUACUUAUCUUGGUUAAGUUAGAGCGUAGAUUAGUUCUCCCGUUUUCCUGUGGAUACGAUAAAACCAAUAACCGGGUAAAAGCUUCAACGGUAUCCGUGCGCUUGCGGAUUAUCUGUGUGCGUAUAAAUACUAUAGUACACUCUAGUGCCAUGCUGGAGAUGACAACCUAGUAUUCAAGUGGUGUUAGCAAGUGUCAACACUAGCUAGUUGAUCUUGCACUUGAGUACCACUUGUACUAGCUUGAUUUUGAUCAUGAGAACCACUAGUUUGCACAUUAGAGGUAGGAAGCACUUGAUCUUUGUCAUCUUCAACAUUAAUCACCUCUCUAGGCCUUAAAUCACCAAUGUCCAUAUUCUUCAUUGCAUCGGCCACUUGAGUGCCUCUCACAUCAUCUAGAUUCUCUUCUUCCUCUUGAGAGCCAUUGGUUUCAUCAAAUUCAACAUCAUGCACC
RNAcentral lists this long non-coding RNA (24283 nucleotides) under Sorghum bicolor (sorghum). RNAcentral's name for it is "long non-coding RNA (SBIC_LNC003158)". Lineage: Eukaryota; Viridiplantae; Streptophyta; Magnoliopsida; Poales; Poaceae. The record is from RNAcentral.